UCCCUGAGGUUGAUUACUCACU
This 22-nucleotide microRNA is filed under the name Pristionchus pacificus. RNAcentral's name for it is "ppc-miR-2236b". Lineage: Eukaryota; Metazoa; Nematoda; Chromadorea; Rhabditida; Neodiplogasteridae. The record is from miRBase by way of RNAcentral.